RNAcentral lists this unclassified non-coding RNA (271 nucleotides) under Hevea brasiliensis (rubber tree). Lineage: Eukaryota; Viridiplantae; Streptophyta; Magnoliopsida; Malpighiales; Euphorbiaceae. The record is from RNAcentral.
GGACCUAUCUGCUUCUGAAAUUAUGAAAUUGGCAGAAAGCAUAAUUAAAAAAUCGAAACAGGUUCAUGAUGCUGUUGCUUCGAUUCCACUUGACAAGGUUGGCUAUGUAAAUGUGAUAUUGCCAUUAGCAGAGUUGGAGGCACAGCAGUUCCCAUUGAUCCAAUCAUGUGUCUUUCCUAAAUGGUUAUCAGCUUCUGAGGAUGUACGCAAAGCUAGUGCUGAAGCAGAGAGGAAAAUAGAUGCUCACAUUACAAUGUGCAGGAAGCGCGAG